This 1922-nucleotide long non-coding RNA is filed under the name Salmo salar (Atlantic salmon). RNAcentral's name for it is "lncRNA (ENSSSAG00000084998.1, ENSSSAG00000103675.1)". The record is from RNAcentral. Lineage: Eukaryota; Metazoa; Chordata; Actinopteri; Salmoniformes; Salmonidae.
UGGUCAUAUUGUCUCUCUGUCCUGUCUCUGACUGGUCAUAUUGUCUCUCUGUCCUGUCUCUGACUGGUCAUAUUGUCUCUCUGUCCUGUCUCUGACUGCUCAUAUUGUCUCUGUCCUGUCUCUGACUGCUCAUAUUGUCUCUGUCCUGUCUCUGACUGCUCAUAUUGUCUCUGACCUGUCUCUGACCUGUCUCUGACUGCUCAUAUUGUCUCUGUCCUGUCGCUGACUGCUCAUAUUGUCUCUGUCCUGUCUCUGACUGCUCAUAUUGUCUCUGUCCUGUCUCUGACUGCUCAUAUUGUCUCUGUCCUGUCUCUGACUGCUCAUAUUGUCUCUGUCCUGUCUCUCUCUCUCUCUCUCUCUCUCUCUCUAAAUGGUAGAGUAGUGGGAGAAGUCUCUCUCUCUCUAUCUCUCGUUCGUUCGUUUGUUCGUUGUAUUAAAUGAGAGCGGAUAACCUGUCGAACCUUUUAUAAAGUUAGUAGCCUGAUUUGAUAUGAAACACUUUUCCCCAAAGCCUUUUUGAAGCCUGGGUCACGUUCAUCAGGCACCAAAUGGACACAAACGGGGAGUACUAUUUUUUUUAUUUUUGUUUUGUGUGUGUUGCACAAUGUUUUUGAAACGUAUUGCUACGAUGGGCCCUAAUGAACACGACCCAGGUGUGACGCCCAUGGACAAACAGGCAGCAAGUCAACAAGGAUAUUAUGAACAUUUUUAAAGGGCUUUUACCUCAAGUGUAAAACCAGUGUGAGAAAGAGACAGCUUAGGGGCUGUAGUAGUGUAAUUCAUCCUGAUUCUGUUGUCUUUUUUUUUUUUAAUUAAAGUUUUCACAUAAUAACAAAAAUAUACUUGUCCAUCUUAUUAUGCAACUGAUGAACUUUUUCUGAGUCUUCUUGUGUGAAAGACUGGUCUCCUGACAUGCGUUGAUAUGAUUGGUAGGGCAAGGUGUCUCAACUGUCUGUCCUGUUAGUUUUUUUGCAUGUCUCCUGAUGAACGUAAAACUACCACCUGCAUCCCAAAUGGAACACUAUUCCCUACUUAGUGCACUACUUUACACCAGAGCCCUAUGGAACCCUAUUCCCUAUAUAGUGCACUACUUUAGACCAGAGCCCUAUGGAACCCUAUUCCCUAUAUAGUACACUACUUUAGACCAGAGCCCUAUGGAACCCUAUUCCCUAUAUAGUGCACUACUUUAGACCAGAGCCCUAUGGAACCCUAUUCCCUACUUAGUGCACUACUUUAGACCAGAACCCUAUGGAACCCUAUUCCCUACUUAGUGCACUACUUUAGACCAGAGCCCUAUGGGCCCUAUAUAGGGAAUAGGGUGCAGUUUGGAACUAAGAGUUAGUUUCAAAACCACUUGCUAGAGGAGCUCUGGAAAAAUGAUAACACUUUACUUCAAGCCUGCAGGUAUAAUGCUUCAUAACUGCUCAUAAGCACCUAUAAGAGUAUUAUCUUGUCUCUUUAUGUCAACUGACUCAAACGGCUGGUAUUUCAUCCAUUAUGAGAUGAGACAUUUAUAAUAGGGUCAUAUGCUUAUGACAAUGCAUUAUAGCCGCAUCAUAAUGCAUUAUAACCUCUGGUAUUAAGUAAAGUUGUACUGAAGUUACGACUGGUUUUUCACUACCGUCCAUGAUGAUAGACCCAUUAUCUCCUACCUGUUCUACACUGGUCCCCCACAGCGGUUAGUCUCCUACCUGUUCUACACUGGUCCCCCACAGCAGUUAGUCUCCUACCUGUUCUACACUGGUCCCCCACAGCGGUUAGUCUCCUAGCCUGGUCCCCCAGCGCGGUUAGUCUCCUAGCCUGGCUCCCCCCCCAGCGGUUAGUCUGCUAGCCUGGCUCCCCCCCAGCGGUUAGUCUCCUAGCCUGGCUCCCCCCAGCGGUUAGUCUCCUAGCCUGGUCCCCCCCAGCGGUUAGUCUCCUAG